RNAcentral lists this unclassified non-coding RNA (282 nucleotides) under plant metagenome. RNAcentral describes it as "partial contains small subunit ribosomal RNA, internal transcribed spacer 1, and 5.8S ribosomal RNA". The record is from RNAcentral.
UUUCCGUAGGUGAACCUGCGGAAGGAUCAUUGUCGAAACCUGCCCAGCAGAACGACCCGCGAACUUGUAUAAACAACUGGGGGCGGGGGGCGUUCUCGCCCCGUGCCCCCGAACGGCGGGGAGACACUCGUGCCUUCUUGCCGAACAACGAACCCCGACGCGGUCUGCGCCAAGGAACUUCAACUAAAGAGUGCCUCCGGUCGCCUCGGAAACGGCGUGCGUGCCGGAGGCGAAUCUUGUGCAAAACCAUAACGACUCUCGGCAACGGACAUCUCGGCUCUC